AACCAGUGGCCCAAGCGUUAGUCGGAAUCACUGGACUUAAAGGUUGCGUAGGCGGAUGGGUAAGUGCUUUGUGAAAGCCCCGGGCUCAACCCGGGAACCGCAGGGCAUACUGCUUAUCUUGAGGAAGGUAGAGGCCGGCGGAACGAUAGGUUGAGCGGUGGAAUGCAUAGAGAUCUAUCGGACCGCCAAGGGUGAAGACAGCCGGCUGGGCCUUUCCUGACGAAGUGUCACGAAAGCGUGGGGAGCAAACAGG
This 253-nucleotide ribosomal RNA is filed under the name uncultured bacterium. RNAcentral describes it as "partial 16S ribosomal RNA". It matches the Rfam family "Bacterial small subunit ribosomal RNA", at positions 524 to 776 of the family's 1533-position model. The record is from RNAcentral.